GGCUAGGGCAUACACCAAUGUACCAAACCCUAUCAAACUCCGAAUACCUUUAGUGUAAUCACAGCAGUCAGGCGGCGAGUGAUAAAAUCCGUCGUCAAGAGGGAAACAACCCAGACUAACAGCUAAGGUCCCCAAAUCUUACUUAAGUGGAAAACGAUGUGAAGUUACUUAAACAACCAGGAGGUUGGCUUAGAAGCAGCCAUCCUUUAAAGAAAGCGUAAUAGCUCACUGGUCUAGUGAUUUUGCGCGGAAAAUAUAACGGGGCUAAAGUAAGUACCGAAGCUUUAGACUUGCACACAACUUAGAUGAUUUAAAUUUGGAAUAUGAGAAGCUAAAUUUAUUUUUAUUUAUUUUUGCUUAUCUUUAUUCAUUUUUAUAGAGUAAAGAUAAAAACAAAAACUUCGUAAAAAUAAUAAAAUAUAGUAAAAAACAAUAAAAAUAUUCUUAGAUUAAAAGUUAAGUCGUUUAAGUUGUGUGCAAGUGGUAGGAGAGCGUUCUAUUUGCGUCGAAGGUAUACCGACAAGGAGUGCUGGAGCGAAUAGAAGUGAGCAUGCAGGCAUGAGUAGCGAUAAUUAAUGUGAGAAUCAUUAACGCCGUAAACCCAAGGUUUCCUACGCGAUGCUCGUCAUCGUAGGGUUAGUCGGGUCCUAAGCUGAGUCCGAAAGGGGUAAGCGAUGGCAAAUAGGUUAAUAUUCCUAUACCAACAUUAGUGUGCG
Molecule: ribosomal RNA, 716 nt
Filed under: Campylobacter upsaliensis
Lineage: Bacteria; Pseudomonadati; Campylobacterota; Epsilonproteobacteria; Campylobacterales; Campylobacteraceae
Description: partial 23S ribosomal RNA
Rfam family: Bacterial large subunit ribosomal RNA
Source: RNAcentral